Molecule: long non-coding RNA, 405 nt
Organism: Hippocampus comes (tiger tail seahorse)
Lineage: Eukaryota; Metazoa; Chordata; Actinopteri; Syngnathiformes; Syngnathidae
Exons: 3
Source: RefSeq, a predicted model, not a curated record
AAACAGACAGAACAUGACAGCCCAUUUACCAUUUCCUCUCACAACUGGAACUCAAUUGCUUCUCUGGUUUUGUUGUAAUUUUUUUUUCUUGUUCGAUAUUUGACUCCACAGGCUCCCAAGAGAGCUUAACCAUCAUUGACGGCUUGAUCAGUUUCUACGAAAAAACCUGCAUUCGCCUCAUGUGGAAGCGUAGCUGGCAUAAAGAUUUUUUGUACUUCUUCCCCGGAUCUGGGUAAGGAGAUGCACACAGGGCAUUAUUAACUGUCGAUGCUAUGUUGGUGGCCUUUUAAAAUCUGAUUUGGCCAGAGAGCGAUGGCUCUCAUGUUUUUUUAAACCCCCAAAUCACUUUAUGUCAGGUGUAUCAGAAAAGUUCCCUGACUGGUGUCACCAAAGGUAGAGUCCAAA